GACGAACGCUGGCGGCGUGCCUAAUACAUGCAAGUUGAGCGCUGAAGGUUGGUACUUGUACCAACUGGAUGAGCAGCGAACGGGUGAGUAACGCGUGGGGAAUCUGCCUUUGAGCGGGGGACAACAUUUGGAAACGAAUGCUAAUACCGCAUAAAAACUUUAAACACAAGUUUUAAGUUUGAAAGAUGCAAUUGCAUCACUCAAAGAUGAUCCCGCGUUGUAUUAGCUAGUUGGUGAGGUAAAGGCUCACCAAGGCGAUGAUACAUAGCCGACCUGAGAGGGUGAUCGGCCACAUUGGGACUGAGACACGGCCCAAACUCCUACGGGAGGCAGCAGUAGGGAAUCUUCGGCAAUGGACGAAAGUCUGACCGAGCAACGCCGCGUGAGUGAAGAAGGUUUUCAGAUCGUAAAACUCUGUUGGUAGAGAAGAACGUUGGUGAGAGUGGAAAGCUCAUCAAGUGACGGUAACUACACAGAAAGAGACGGCUAACUACGUG
Molecule: ribosomal RNA, 497 nt
Filed under: uncultured bacterium
Lineage: Bacteria
Description: partial 16S ribosomal RNA
Rfam family: Bacterial small subunit ribosomal RNA
Source: RNAcentral